RNAcentral lists this ribosomal RNA (448 nucleotides) under uncultured bacterium. RNAcentral describes it as "partial 16S ribosomal RNA". It matches the Rfam family "Bacterial small subunit ribosomal RNA", at positions 328 to 793 of the family's 1533-position model. The record is from RNAcentral.
UGCCCAGACUCCUACGGGAGGCAGCAGUGGGGAAUAUUGCACAAUGGGGGAAACCCUGAUGCAGCGACGCCGCGUGAGCGAAGAAGUACCUCGGUAUGUAAAGCUCUAUCAGCAGGGAAGAAGAUGACGGUACCUGACCAAGAAGCUCCGGCUAAAUACGUGCCAGCAGCCGCGGUAAUACGUAUGGAGCAAGCGUUAUCCGGAUUUACUGGGUGUAAAGGGAGCGUAGGCGGCCUGCCAAGUCUGAUGUGAAAUACCGGGGCUCAACCCCGGGGCUGCAUUGGAAACUGGCAGGCUGGAGUGUCGGAGAGGCAGGCGGAAUUCCUAGUGUAGCGGUGAAAUGCGUAGAUAUUAGGAGGAACACCGGCGGCGAAGGCGGCCUGCUGGACCGUAACUGACGUUGAGGCUCGAAAGCGUGGGGAGCAAACAGGAUUAGAUACCCUGGUAA